AGAGUUUGAUCAUGGCUCAGAUUGAACGCUGGCGGCAGGCCUAACACAUGCAAGUCGAACGGUAACAUUUCUAGCUUGCUAGAAGAUGACGAGUGGCGGACGGGUGAGUAAUGCUUGGGAACUUGCCUUUGCGAGGGGGAUAACAGUUGGAAACGACUGCUAAUACCGCAUAAUGUCUACGGACCAAACGGGGCUUAGGCUCCGGCGCAAAGAGAGGCCCAAGUGAGAUUAGCUAGUUGGUAAGGUAAUGGCUUACCAAGGCAACGAUCUCUAGCUGUUCUGAGAGUAAGAUCAGCCACACUGGAACUGAGACACGGUCCAGACUCCUACGGGAGGCAGCAGUGGGGAAUAUUGCACAAUGGGGGAAACCCUGAUGCAGCCAUGCCGCGUGUGUGAAGAAGGCCUUCGGGUUGUAAAGCACUUUCAGUUGUGAGGAAAAGUUAGUAGUUAAUACCUGCUAGCCGUGACGUUAACAACAGAAGAAGCACCGGCUAACUCCGUGCCAGCAGCCGCGGUAAUACGGAGGGUGCGAGCGUUAAUCGGAAUUACUGGGCGUAAAGCGCACGCAGGCGGUUUGUUAAGCUAGAUGUGAAAGCCCCGGGCUCAACCUGGGAUGGUCAUUUAGAACUGGCAGACUAGAGUCUUGGAGAGGGGAGUGGAAUUCCAGGUGUAGCGGUGAAAUGCGUAGAUAUCUGGAGGAACAUCA
Molecule: ribosomal RNA, 706 nt
Filed under: uncultured marine microorganism
Description: bacterial SSU rRNA
Rfam family: Bacterial small subunit ribosomal RNA
Source: RNAcentral